RNAcentral lists this transfer RNA (71 nucleotides) under Type-E symbiont of Plautia stali. RNAcentral describes it as "tRNA-Xxx". It matches the Rfam family "tRNA". Rfam says of the family: Transfer RNA (tRNA) molecules are approximately 80 nucleotides in length. RNAcentral also lists the same sequence under 3 other names. Lineage: Bacteria; Pseudomonadati; Pseudomonadota; Gammaproteobacteria; Enterobacterales; Enterobacteriaceae. The record is from RNAcentral.
CCGCCGUUAGCUUAUUGGAAAGAGCGCUGGCUCUAAUGCCAGAGGACGGGGUUAAAUUCCUUGACGGCGGA